GAUGAACGCUGGCGGCGUGCCUAAUACAUGCAAGUCGAGCGAACCUCUUCGGAGGUUAGCGGCGGACGGGUGAGUAACACGUGGGUAACCUGCCUGUAAGACUGGGAUAACUUCGGGAAACCGAAGCUAAUACCGGAUACUUUUUUGAGUCGCAUGACUCGAAAUGGAAAGACGGCUUGGCUGUCACUUACAGAUGGACCCGCGUCGCAUUAGCUAGUUGGUGAGGUAACGGCUCACCAAGGCGACGAUGCGUAGUCGACCUGAGAGGGUGAUCGGCCACACUGGGACUGAGACACGGCCCAGACUCCUACGGGAGGCAGCAGUAGGGAAUCUUCGGCAAUGGGCGAAAGCCUGACCGAGCAACGCCGCGUGAGUGAUGAAGGCUUUCGGGUCGUAAAACUCUGUUGUUAGGGAAGAACAAGUACGAGAGUAACUGCUCGUACCUUGACGGUACUUAACCAGAAAGCCACGGCUAACUACGUGCCAGCCGCCGCAGUAA
Molecule: ribosomal RNA, 499 nt
Filed under: uncultured bacterium
Lineage: Bacteria
Description: partial 16S ribosomal RNA
Rfam family: Bacterial small subunit ribosomal RNA
Source: RNAcentral